GCAAGUCGUACGCUUCUUUUUCCCCGGAGCUUGCUCCACCGGAAAAAGAAGAGUGGCGAACGGGUGAGUAACACGUGGGUAACCUGCCCAUCAGAAGGGGAUAACACUUGGAAACAGGUGCUAAUACCGUAUAACAAUCGAAACCGCAUGGUUUUGAUUUGAAAGGCGCUUUCGGGUGUCGCUGAUGGAUGGACCCGCGGUGCAUUAGCUAGUUGGUGAGGUAACGGCUCACCAAGGCCACGAUGCAUAGCCGACCUGAGAGGGUGAUCGGCCACAUUGGGACUGAGACACGGCCCAAACUCCUACGGGAGGCAGCAGUAGGGAAUCUUCGGCAAUGGACGAAAGUCUGACCGAGCAACGCCGCGUGAGUGAAGAAGGUUUUCGGAUCGUAAAACUCUGUUGUUAGAGAAGAACAAGGAUGAGAGUAACUGUUCAUCCCUUGACGGUAUCUAACCAGAAAGCCACGGCUAACUACGUGCCAGCAGCCGCGGUAAUACGUAGGUGGCAAGCGUUGUCCGGAUUUAUUGGGCGUAAAGCGAGCGCAGGCGGUUUCUUAAGUCUGAUGUGAAAGCCCCCGGCUCAACCGGGGAGGGUCAUUGGAAACUGGGAGACUUGAGUGCAGAAGAGGAGAGUGGAAUUCCAUGUGUAGCGGUGAAAUGCGUAGAUAUAUGGAGGAACACCAGUGGCGAAGGCGGCUCUCUGGUCUGUAACUGACGCUGAGGCUCGAAAGCGUGGGGAGCAAACAGGAUUAGAUACCCUGGUAGUCCACGCCGUAAACGAUGAGUGCUAAGUGUUGGAGGGUUUCCGCCCUUCAGUGCUGCAGCUAACGCAUUAAGCACUCCGCCUGGGGAGUACGACCGCAAGGUUGAAACUCAAAGGAAUUGACGGGGGCCCGCACAAGCGGUGGAGCAUGUGGUUUAAUUCGAAGCAACGCGAAGAACCUUACCAGGUCUUGACAUCCUUUGACCACUCUAGAGAUAGAGCUUCCCCUUCGGGGGCAAAGUGACAGGUGGUGCAUGGUUGUCGUCAGCUCGUGUCGUGAGAUGUUGGGUUAAGUCCCGCAACGAGCGCAACCCUUAUUGUUAGUUGCCAUCAUUCAGUUGGGCACUCUAGCAAGACUGCCGGUGACAAACCGGAGGAAGGUGGGGAUGACGUCAAAUCAUCAUGCCCCUUAUGACCUGGGCUACACACGUGCUACAAUGGGAAGUACAACGAGUCGCGAAGUCGCGAGGCUAAGCUAAUCUCUUAAAGCUUCUCUCAGUUCGGAUUGUAGGCUGCAACUCGCCUACAUGAAGCCGGAAUCGCUAGUAAUCGCGGAUCAGCACGCCGCGGUGAAUACGUUCCCGGGCCUUGUACACACCGCCCGUCACACCACGAGAGUUUGUAACACCCGAAGUCGGUGAGGUAACCUUUGAGCCA
Molecule: ribosomal RNA, 1419 nt
Filed under: Enterococcus sp.
Lineage: Bacteria; Bacillati; Bacillota; Bacilli; Lactobacillales; Enterococcaceae
Description: bacterial SSU rRNA
Rfam family: Bacterial small subunit ribosomal RNA
Source: RNAcentral